This 466-nucleotide ribosomal RNA is filed under the name uncultured bacterium. RNAcentral's name for it is "partial 16S ribosomal RNA". It matches the Rfam family "Bacterial small subunit ribosomal RNA", at positions 28 to 507 of the family's 1533-position model. The record is from RNAcentral.
GAUGAACGCUGGCGGCGUGCUUAACACAUGCAAGUCGAACGGAAAGGCCCAAGCUUGCUUGGGUACUCGAGUGGCGAACGGGUGAGUAACACGUGGGUGAUCUGCCCUGCACUUCGGGAUAAGCCUGGGAAACUGGGUCUAAUACCGGAUAGGACCACAUUUUGGAUGGUGUGGUGGAAAGUUUUUCGGUGUGGGAUGAGCUCGCGGCCUAUCAGCUUGUUGGUGGGGUAAUGGCCUACCAAGGCGUCGACGGGUAGCCGGCCUGAGAGGGUGUACGGCCACAUUGGGACUGAGGGACGGCCCAGACGCCUACGGGAGGCAGCAGUGGGGAAUAUUGCACAAUGGGCGCAAGCCUGAUGCAGCGACGCCGCGUGGGGGAUGACGGCCUUCGGGUUGUAAACUCCUUUCGCUAGGGACGAAGCGUUAUGUGACGGUACCUGGAGAAGAAGCACCGGCUAACUACGUG